Molecule: small nuclear RNA, 62 nt
Filed under: Microcebus murinus (gray mouse lemur)
Lineage: Eukaryota; Metazoa; Chordata; Mammalia; Primates; Cheirogaleidae
Description: U7 small nuclear RNA (ENSMICG00000025856.3)
Rfam family: U7 small nuclear RNA
About the family: Animal histone pre-mRNAs are spliced by a different mechanism than nuclear pre-mRNAs and self-splicing introns. This processing involves the U7 snRNP, which contains only one RNA species: U7.
Source: Rfam by way of RNAcentral
AAGUGAUUAGCUCUUUUAGAAUUUGUCUAGCAUGUUUUCUGGUCUUUAUCCGGAAGACCCCA